CACAGUAAUGAAGGCAGCAACAUGUGGUAGAUGGGACAGAACAAGAAAGACUUAAUAAUCUUUCAUUGUGCUAAUGUAUUAUAAUACGAAAGGAUUUGAGGGAAAGAUUAAAAACAAGGAGGUCUGGGAACGACUGAAGGGAACUGACAGCAGUGAGGGAAGGAAGUAAUCAGCAGGAUCUCAGAGAAGGAUAUUGACAGUGCAGGCCCAGGAUGAAGAAGAGGAGGAAGAACACAUUUAACAAUUUUCUCAUAAACUUUCCAUGUGUUAUAAUAAAAACAAUGAACAUGACUACAAUAAUAUGCUAAAUGUUAUUAAAAGAUUCCAGUUUGCAAGAAAUCUGAGUGUCUGACUCUACACUAGAGGAACUCUUUUCUGAAGAACAUCAGGUGCUGAGAAGCAUUGUUAUUAGAGCAAAACACUGCAUCAAGCCUCCUGUCCUUCCCUCAGAAGAGCCUGUCUUCUGCUGCUGGGGUAAGAAACACACUCUUCCUCGUCUCUAUCGGCUGUCCAGCACCUAACUCUGCCUCCUCAGCACUGUCUGAAAGAGUCUUCUCCACAGUCAGUAAUCAGAGAUCACAGAUUCUUCUGAGAAAGUCAAUAUGCUCAUUUUCUUAAAAACUUUGUUUUUUCGAGGGGACAAAUAAUACAGGAGAGAUGCUAGAAAUCUCUAUAUUGUUCAUUUUUCAUAUCUUUACGCUUUAUGAAUGUUUUUCUUCUGAGAAGCUCAAAAAUUAUGGUUCUUUGGUAAUUGCUAUAUUGUUUAGGUUUAUCCUCUGAUAGUGAGCACAGAGCCCUGAUCAUGA
Carassius carassius (crucian carp) is the source of this 806-nucleotide long non-coding RNA. RefSeq lists it as uncharacterized. The transcript is spliced from 3 exons. NCBI's taxonomy places the organism in Eukaryota, Metazoa, Chordata, Actinopteri, Cypriniformes, Cyprinidae. The record is from RefSeq and is a predicted model, not a curated record.